Molecule: long non-coding RNA, 720 nt
Organism: Alnus glutinosa
Lineage: Eukaryota; Viridiplantae; Streptophyta; Magnoliopsida; Fagales; Betulaceae
Exons: 2
Source: RefSeq, a predicted model, not a curated record
ACAUAAAAAUAAAAAGUUUCUAAAUUUGAAGAAAAUCCAUGGCUUCCAAAUGUAUUAGAAAACUUACACUAGUGAUGAUGGAAUUUUUUAUCCUUGUUCUCCUAAACGUUCAGGCUAUUGACCUUUCCCCUACGUCUUUUUCUCCCUCUGGAUUGCCCAUCUUAUAUUCUCACUCUGAACUUGAUGAAGUUAAAGCAACAAUACAUACAUGCUUUGCAGAUGGGAUUAAAGAUUGUGAAAAAACACGGUCACUUCCCAAAUUGUCUAUACCUCCCUUGUCGGGUUUUGAAUCUUGUCUCAUUAAAGUUCAUGCGUUAUGCUGGGCGAAACAACAUGGCGAAGAGGAGAUGAGUAGCGAGCAUUUCAUAUGCAUAUUUAGAUGCAUAACACAUCAAAGCGAUAUUGGGUCCUGUUUCACAAAAUGUUAUGAAAAACAUGUUGAGAACCACGCAGAUGUCAUUUAUAAGCAGAAUCCAUAGCGUAAGAUUCAUAUGGAGGCUUUCUCAGGAAAUGUGGGAGAGCAAGACUUGCUAGAUAGCAUUUCCUAGUUGUCCCUCGUUUCAAAUAAUAUUGUUUUGAGUUGUAAAAUAAUGAUAAUUCAGGAUGUUGUUGUACUUGAUUUAAUACCGUUGUGUUUUUAAUUUUUAAGUUGGUCUAUUUUGGACCCAAAACUAUGCCAUUUGGGAGUUGAAUUUUACAUGGAAUCUGUUGAUCUUGUUU